GGAGCAGUCUGGUAGCUCGUUGGGCUCAUAACCCAAAAGGUCGCAGGUUCAAAUCCACGCC
This 61-nucleotide transfer RNA is filed under the name Acidobacteriota bacterium. RNAcentral describes it as "Acidobacteria bacterium (activated sludge metagenome) tRNA-Met". The record is from RNAcentral. Lineage: Bacteria; Pseudomonadati; Acidobacteriota.